UAUAGGCACGUGCCACCACAACUGGCUUAAAUGUGUCAUUUAAAAAUUCAGGCCAGGCACAGUGGCUCACGCCUGUA
Chlorocebus sabaeus (green monkey) is the source of this 77-nucleotide microRNA precursor. The record is from Ensembl. Lineage: Eukaryota; Metazoa; Chordata; Mammalia; Primates; Cercopithecidae.